RNAcentral lists this long non-coding RNA (256 nucleotides) under Gossypium barbadense (sea-island cotton). RNAcentral's name for it is "long non-coding RNA (GBAR_LNC012774)". Lineage: Eukaryota; Viridiplantae; Streptophyta; Magnoliopsida; Malvales; Malvaceae. The record is from RNAcentral.
AUGUCUGUGACUGGAGUACAAGGAACAUCCACAACAAUGUCGGGAUGAGGAACAUGAUAUGAAAACUCAGCUAUGGGAAGCUACUUUGUGAUGACGAUUUAUUCGGGUUUAUAGGGCUUUCUGUAUCAAGGUCUGUUAGCAUGAUGCCUAGAGUGGAUGGGCAAUAUGAAUGUACCUAGAGUGGACCAUGUGAAUUUAAUGUAUUUGUCAAUUAAUUUUUGAGAACACAAUGCCAUGGUAGUAUUUGAAUUGUUGC